Passer montanus (Eurasian tree sparrow) is the source of this 10720-nucleotide RNA transcript. It is a transcript of the gene named solute carrier organic anion transporter family member 3A1, with no coding region annotated. The record is from RefSeq and is a predicted model, not a curated record. NCBI's taxonomy places the organism in Eukaryota, Metazoa, Chordata, Aves, Passeriformes, Passeridae. The transcript is spliced from 11 exons.
AUGCCGGGGAAGCGGGGCUCGGCGGGCGGCGGCGGCGGCAGCGAGCUCCCGGGGGCCGGCGCGCCGCGGCAGCGCAGGCGGCGGAGGAAGGUCUCCUGCUUCUCCAGCAUCCAGCUCUUCCUGGUGUCCGAGUGCGCCCUGAUGCUGGCCCAGGGCACGGUGGGAGCCUACCUGGUGAGUGUUUUAACCACCUUGGAGCGGCGAUUCAACCUGCAGAGCGCUGACGUGGGCGUCAUUGCCAGCAGCUUCGAGAUUGGCAACCUGGCCCUCAUCCUCUUUGUGAGCUACUUUGGAGCCCGAGGACACCGGCCACGCUUGAUAGGAUGUGGAGGGAUAGUCAUGGCCUUGGGUGCCCUCCUUUCUGCGUUGCCUGAAUUUCUGACCCACCAGUACGAAUACGAAUCGGGAGAAAUACGCUGGGGAGCUGAAGGGAGGGAUGUGUGUGCUGUCAACGGGUCCACCAGUGAUGAGGGACCAGACCCGGACCUUAUCUGCAGGAAUAGGACUGCUACCAACAUGAUGUACUUGCUGCUCAUCGGGGCACAGGUCCUCCUGGGCAUUGGUGCUACCCCUGUCCAGCCCCUGGGAGUUUCCUACAUCGAUGACCAUGUGAGGCGGAAAGAUUCCUCCCUGUACAUAGGGAUCCUGUUUACGAUGCUGGUAUUCGGGCCAGCCUGUGGAUUUAUCUUGGGCUCCUUCUGUACCAAAAUCUAUGUGGAUGCUGUCUUCAUUGACACAAGCAAGCUGGACAUAACCCCGGACGACCCUCGGUGGAUCGGAGCGUGGUGGGGAGGCUUCCUGCUCUGUGGUGCCUUACUCUUCUUCUCGUCCCUGCCCAUGUUCGGCUUCCCGCAGUCGCUGCCGCCGCGGCCGGAGCGCACCGGGGAGAGCGAGCAGGCCAUGCUCCCCGACAGGGACUACGAGCGGCCCAAGCCCAGCAACGGGGUCCUGCGGCACCCGCUGGAUGGGGACAGCAGCACCACCUGCUUCCAGCAGCUGCGAGUGAUCCCCAAAGUGACUAAGCACCUGCUCUCCAACCCCGUGUUCACCUGCAUCAUCCUGGCAGCCUGCAUGGAGAUCGCGGUGGUGGCCGGGUUCGCCGCCUUCCUGGGCAAGUACUUGGAGCAGCAGUUCAACCUCACCACCUCCUCUGCCAACCAGCUCCUGGGGAUGACAGCAAUCCCGUGUGCAUGUCUGGGCAUAUUCCUGGGGGGCCUCUUGGUGAAGAAGCUGAGCCUGUCUGCUCUGGGAGCCAUCAGGAUGGCCAUGCUGGUGAACCUGGUGUCCACAGCUUGCUACGUGUCCUUCCUGUUCCUGGGCUGUGACACAGGACCUGUGGCAGGGGUUACUGUUCCCUAUGGAAACAACUCAACUCCAACCUCAUCUCUGGACCCAUAUUCCCCGUGCAAUAACAACUGUGAAUGCCAAACUGACUCCUUCACUCCAGUGUGUGGGGCAGACGGGGUCACAUACUUAUCUGCCUGCUUUGCUGGCUGCAGCAGCACGAACCUCAGUGGCUGUUCGUGCCUCACCUCGGUCCCUCCCGAAAACGCCACCGUCGUUCCUGGCAAAUGCCCCAGCCCUGGGUGCGAAGAGGCCUUCCUGACAUUCCUGUGUGUGAUGUGUGUCUGCAGCAUGAUCGGGGCCAUGGCGCAGACACCGUCCGUCAUCAUCCUCAUCAGAACCGUGAGCCCUGAACUCAAGUCUUACGCUCUGGGGGUGCUUUUCCUGCUGCUCCGGUUGCUAGGUUUUAUCCCACCUCCGCUGAUCUUCGGGGCCGGGAUUGACUCCACGUGUCUGUUCUGGAGCACAUUCUGUGGAGAGCAAGGAGCCUGUGCACUGUAUGACAACGUGGUCUACAGAUACCUGUAUGUCAGCAUUGCUAUCGCCCUCAAGUCCUUUGCAUUCAUCCUGUACACCACCACCUGGCAGUGCUUGAGGAAAAACUAUAAAAGAUACAUCAAGAACCACGAAGGUGGUCUCAGCACUAGUGAGUUUUUUGCCUCUACUCUCACCCUAGACAAUCUGGGGCGGGACUCUGUGCCCCAAAAUCAACCACAUAGGACAAAAUUUAUCUAUAACCUUGAAGAUCACGAGUGGUGUGAAAAUAUGGAGUCUGUUUUAUAGUGACUGUGGAGGAGUGAACUAUAUUAAUAAUACAAGGGUCCUUUUUAAUAAAAACAAGGAGAGAGCACGAAUGAAAGAAGAAACAACUGCAAAACAGCAACGGCAACACAGGAAACUUUUGUCUUUUUCUCAAAGUCAGACCCAGCCAGGAUUCUUGAGAAGAGAGAGUCUUUUGAUGGGAUCACUUGUGACAUCCUGUGGGGUGGUGGAGAAAGCAGGGAGCCCUUGUGGCUGGGCACCAGCCCCUUGUGACAGCACGAGCUUCCAAGCAGGGCACCUGCAGAGGUUCAGCAGAGAGUUGGGCACGAGGUGCAGGGAAAGCAAGGUGAUGAGAGCAAGGUGAUAACAGCAAUAGGUUCUUUCCCAGUUGAGAUGGGGCGUGCGGAGCCCUGCAGGGCUGGCCAGGCUGGGUGCUGCUCCAGCCUGCUGCGUCCGCGAUGGCGAAGAGGGAGCGGUGCUGGAGUCCUGCCACCAGUCACACUCUGCCACCAGCCACGAGUCCACCACAAAUUCCUUGAAAGCUGCUGGAAACCUUCCCUGAUGCUGUCAGGGGUAUCCAAGUCCUUCCAGGCCAGGCUUAUUCGCAGAUUGCAGCUCUGUGGCUGUCUGUGAAUAACCGUGCUCAGAUCUCAAACCCAGUAGAGUUCAAGACAUUUGCUCACACUUGCCAAACGUGCUGUCAUUUUUAAAGGGGGAUGAGUUCCAAAUACUUAUCUGUGUAGUCCUCUAAUAAGAUGUUUUUUGAAAUUAUUUUCGAGUAUAUGUUAACCCUUAAAUCGCUGACACUUUUCCAUGAGGAGGAUUUAUUUAUGCUAGUUUGGGCAAGGAUCCUGUUUAAUUCACCCAAACUUAAUGUGACUCAAGGGGUUUGUUUAAUCCUCUGCAUUUUUUAUCCAUACGCCUUCAUUCUAAUAUGCUACCAAGCCAAUGAAGACACAUAAUAUGUUUUUAAAAAAGAGAAUGAAUGCACUGUGUCUCUAUAAAAACAAUUGUCUGUUGGAGAAUUAUAGAUAAUAUGAUGAUUUACAUAAUAUAGUUUUUUCAUAUUCUAUGUGACUCAGUGAAUACAUAUAUAUGUGGAGAGGCUGUUGAUGUUCUCUCCAGUUUUUAAAGAUAUAUAUAUAUAUAUAUAAUUUGCAAUCUAGAAAUUGUGUGGUGGAUGUUUUCUUUAAAGUGCGUGUGUGUGUGCGUGCGUGUGUGUGUGUGUACAAGAUGAGAGGAAUACUGACCUUAAUCUUUCAGCCCUCACAGUUGGUGUUUUAUCUUUCACCUGAGAAAUUCCACUGACUUUCAGUGGAAGACAUGUGAGGAAGAUGGAAUAAUCUCUCCUGGAUGCCACAUUUUGUUUGUACAUGUGGGAAUAGUGUCCCUCUGGAAGGCUGGGUUAUGGGACCAGAGGCUGGCCAGCAUUGAGCAACUCAAACUUCCAUUCAGCUCCCCACAAAGCAUCCAUGCAGGAGCAGAUUUGGCUUGGCUCCUGCAGUGCAGCCUUACCUAAACCUGCAAAAACCAUAGGGAAACUUUCAUCUGAUUACAAGAAACGUGGGGGUCAGGCUUAUUUUGUAUGCACAUUUUUGUUUUCCUAAACAUUCCUGCUGGGAAGCAAUGCAAAUUGGUUAAAAUUUGAUGAGUUUUUUUCCCAGGAACCAGACUUGUUUCCGAUGGACUAAAUGUCAGAAGGGCUUUAAGGGUUAGCAUCAUAAUUAAAAGUUCCUUUUUUGUGUGAAUUUCGAAGCUGUUGUGAAUUGAGGAUGUUUAGAGGAGUAAGUAACCUGGCGUGUUGAGUUAAAUGCUGGAUGUCACUUCCAUGCAGGUGGCAGAGGGGCUGAUCUUCCCCAAGUCCUUGUCCAUUGCUGCAGUGGACACCCCAGAGCUGGCACAAUUACAGAGGGUUGAUAACUUGUCACUCAUGUUCAGCACAUUUUUAGCAGACUUUGCUCUGAUCCAGGCUUUGUAGCAUGGGUGUGGAGUAUCAAACUGCUUCCACUUGAUUGAAUUUAUAUGUGUGCUUGCAGCUUAUGCACAGAAUUACAUGUUCAGCAACAAUAAGGGCAGGAAAAAAGGGUGUAUCAAAUAAACUCCAUUGUGCCAAAUACUCAACAAAUAUUGUAAUUGCAGAUAUUUAAUUCUUGGGUUUCAGCCAUGUUAAGAAUCGCUCAAUUGAUGAAGGAGUUUAAGGAAAAAAAAAUAUUAAGCUAUGCAGUGCCAUUGUUAUGUUGGGUGGUAAAUGAUGCUUUUUAGACCAUUGUAUUGGUUUAGCAUAUCCUGUCUGCUAAAAUAGAGAUACUGCAUCCAUAAAACAAUGAAUUCAAAAAAGGCACAGGGUGCAUAACUGUCUCAUAAAAUAUAUAUAAUUGUCAAGUAUAAGCCUUUGAAAUCAUUCUGUACAGUUCUCUUCAUUCUGCAGAUUUAUUACUUAGACUGCUGUCUUUCCAAAUGUUAGCUCAUAAUUUUAUACUAUACACACACUUUCAGACUCAAACACAAAUGUCACACAAUAGAACCUUUCUAAAAGCCUGAUUGCUUGAAAUUUCAUAACCCCUUUCACAAUUUCAUGAUUUUCCCCUCUGAAAGUCCAAGGUGAAGGAGAAUAGCAUGCUGAUUGGUAUGAUGUAAAACAAACUCCCAGUGCUCACGAGCUGUGGUUUGUUGCUACAGUCAAAAGUCUCCCUUGACCGGAGUUAUAGAAACAGGAUUCCAGGGCACAUUACAUUUUCAUUUGUGUUUUUCUUUACUUUUUUCAUUUGAUCUCUUCUCUUAGUAUGUGUGGGAGAUGCAGCUGAAUGGGGUUACUUAUGUUAUUUCUAAGCUGUAACGUGAAAUUCCUGCAUGAUUGUUACUUUACUUCUUUUGAUAAUGGAACUCUUGAAAAUUUCUUUUCCCCCAUCCCACUCUUUUCUUUUUUUUCCCCCAGGGUUAGGUCUGAUGCCUGCAUCGUGAAGGGCUUUGCUGUCAGUGCUUUGGUACAGAUUUGAGAACAGAGCUUUAGUUGAAAGAAAAUACACAGACCAAACCCUUCACAGCCACACCAGCAGGCAUUUUGGUUUCUUUCUGAUUUCAGAACCACAAGCCUGCAUCCCAAUUUUUGUUACAGAAUAACAGAGGAAGAGUGUCAGACAUCCUCCCUCUUCCCAAACUGCGUUAUGGGCCUCACCUGUCAGCACUUCACCUCCAUCCUGCAACUGCCUUAACCAUGCAGGGAACUCAAAAAACAAGGAUGGAGUUAGAAAAACACCCAUUCCCAGGAACAGAAACAGGGCCAUGCUCUGAGCUGUGUGGUCCAGAUCCAGUGGUGGAAAUUGUUUCUUCAUAUUCAAGGGCAUUGAAAUUCAGGGGUUUGUUGAGGCCUCAGUCUCAGCAGAAAUGUUCUUUUGGUGUUUCCAAGCACUGUGUUCCACACGUGGCUGUCUGCUAAGGAAUGGGAUGUUUGGAAGAACAAACUACUUGAGAUUCUGCAGUCUCUCUGGGAUUGACCAGCUGCCUUGCAUGGCUUCAGGCUGGGGUUUCCUUUCCCUUGCUCAGAUCCCACUUUGGAAUAGCCCCAGUGGAAUCAGAAGGGGACCCCAAUCUAAAAUCGGUGCAGAUGACACUGGAAUCCUUUUCUUUUCAUCCUUGUUAACAAGGUGAUGCAUUUCCAGAACCUUCUUUUAAUACAGAUAGAAAUCAUCCAUUUUUCUGACUUUACCCAACACAUCUUGGAUGUAGAGUGGGACUGAAAAGUCCAUCACUUGAAUUAUCACAAACCUUCCAUUCUUGGCAAUUCAGCUCAAUAACAGGGGCCUCCCUCUGCCAUUCCCCUCUGAGAUGCACUGAACUCCUCGGUGCUGCUGCUGUUCAUCGUGGUUGGGUCUCACCUUGCUCAGAAGGUGAGAAGGGAAAGAUGCAGAGAGGAAUUAGCUUCCAUUAUCUGACUUAGCUACACUUCAAAAUGCUUCCAAAUUGAACUGAUGGUCUGCAGACAUUUGGAGAGUGAUUGGAGUAUUUCCAAAUGGCUGAGAUACAUUUACUUAUUUUGCCUUGCAAAAAAAAAUUAAAAAAAUUAAGGGAAUGAAUGUGAUUUGAACCCCCUCCUAUCCCCAUCAGGAUUUUAUGUUCAUCACAUUGCAGUGAAGGCAAUGUGCUUAAGGUUCACCUUUGUGUUUCAGUCAAACUCACUUUUUUUCUCAAUAAAUGGGGUACUGGGACACAGAAAGGCAACUCCAUCUCACAACCAGAGUUUCAGUCCACAGCCAACCCACAACAGCCUGAAGCCUACCAGCACUGUGAAGCUUUAGCCCCCAAGCCAGCCACAGCUGUUGCUGCCAUGUGAGGGUUUGUCACAGCUGGGUGUGUUUGGCUUGGUAUUUUCUUCAGGCUUUGGCAUUCUUGGUGUGAUGUUUGCUUUGUUCUUGGCAGGUGAUGUGGGGAGUUGUCAGUAUAAAAGACACAUGCAAAUGCUUCACUGGACUGAUGUGAUAACAGCUUUGUUAUUUUAUUCACAAGGGUUUCCAGACUUACUCCUGCUCUGCCUUUAAAUGCAGCUGGGCUCAUCUAUCCCCCUAAUUUCUUGUGAACUGUGUUUGCAGACAGCAGCAGGUUUGUUGUUGUUCUCUCUGUAGAUCUGAUUAAUAUGUGCAAAGCUCACAAGCUUCCUGUGUACAGGGCAGAGCACCCCUGAUUACAAGCAAUAAUACUGACCUGCUCUCGUUUGCAACAGGGCUUCUGGCUUUUCUUACUAAAUCUGGCUUCACCUGUCUCAGCAUCCCACACUGCUGCUGUGCCUCCCCUCUUUUGUUGGCAGCCAAGACAGAAUUGGUGGGAAUAUAGGCAGCAGUUUAUUAAAAUGCUGGUGUGAGCCAGGUUCAGCCAUGCUUAUCUGGUGGUUGAGACUGAUCCAAGGAGGAAAGGACAUUGUAACUGAGCCACUCUGAAAGGAUUAUCCACCCUUCUGUGCUCCUGGAUAGCCCUUCCUCCACCAGACCCAUGGUUUUGGGUGUUUUCUUCCAAACUGACCAUCAGCUUCCUUUCUCUAGCCACAGUUCUUCCUUCCCCCAAUGGCCAAGCACAGCUUGGCUCUACCAAGCCAAUACAAGGUAUCCAGAGUUACUGAGAAGCGUUUAAAUGGGAGCCAGCAGGUCUCACUCAGUUUUACAUAUGUUCAAAAUGUUAUAGUUUGUUCUGCUUAUAUCCCCUAAAUCUAUAACUUCUAGGCUGCAAAUGAUGCUCUCUAUCAUUACAUUGACAUUUCUAGCCAAUCUGAGUCUUAAUACAAUUGCUUUGCUGAAAAAUGGCCUUUCAGCAGUUCUCAGACAUGAGGUACUUCUUUAUUAACUAGUGAUGCCAAGUAAAAUCUGUGGCCAUUGUCUGUUCCCUGAGUUCAGGGGAGCAGAGGGAGGCUGUGCCUGCCCAGCAGCAAUACUGGUGUUUCCUGGGGCAGAGUGUGAACAUGGACUGCUUUUCUUUCAGCUUCAGUCUUGCCUUGGCUGCUUGGCUCUGAGCAUCUCUUGGUCCUAAAAGGAAUUCAGGGAGUUCAGGAGAAGCUGACUGGACAGAGCAAUCCAUGUGGAUGGCUGCCAGAGUAGGGCUUCAGGAUGUUUGUAGUGUUUAUGUUGUUUUGCCUGUCAAAGCUUUGCUUCUAUCUCUAUUUGUUUGAUGAAUGGAGUGACCCCAGGGAUGGGGUCUGUGCAAUGGGAUGAGUUUGUGACGUUUGCCCCAUUUAUUCAGAUUAAGCAAGGUGUCCACCCCUAAGAAGGAGAAGCUUUGUCAUACCCUGAACAGUUUGUGGUGGUGGACUGGUUCUCCACAAAGUUGGUAUCUGCAUAUGGCAAGAAGCAAUAAGAAACUUGUCAGCUAAAACUCGACAAAUAAUUUAUAGCAACUUCACACAUUAAUUUUCUCUUUUAUUUCUUCCUUGCAAAUUGCUGAGAAAACCAAGAAAAUGCGUCCAGUGUAUUUGCAAGGUCGUUUCUGCAUAUCAUCUGUGGUCUGGAGAAGCUGGAAAAGCUUUCUUGUAAUUCAUACACAGGGAUUUGUUCUGGAUGGACAUAAAACUCACAGAGGUUAUUUCUGCUCCCUGAGUUCCCUAAGCUGGAAUUUUCUCAUCAGUAAAAAUAUUUAGUUCAAAAGUAUGUGAUCAGGAAUUGAGUAAGAGGAUCCUUGCUCAGUGUCUGUGGCUGGCUUCCAUCUCACACUCCACUUCCCAGGAAUAUUCUCUCACAGAUGCUUGAAAUUCUCAGCCUCUCCCAGUAUUCCUACUGGUUAAAGGACUCAUUUGAGUAAUUGCUGAGAGCAAACACCAGAAGGGUAUGAACCCAGACAAAAGUGAAUUGGUAUUGAGGUGAAGCAGGUGGUGUAAAUUUUAUUUGCGAUGUUUGCACAGCUCUUGGAUCAGAAGCAGAAACCUCUGGGGCAUCAAGAGAGUUGCAUAUGGCCUAACAUAUCUUAGUUCUUCCCAAAUGAAUUGCCCAUGGGUGGGGCAGCAAAAGGCAUCUUUCUCUGCCACGGAUAUCUCAGCCCCCCAAACCCAUUUUCUCUUGCAGUAUGGCAUCGCACAAACAGCAGUGCAUUUACCCCUCAGUGCAAACAGUGCUGUGUUUUUGGUGCCUCACAACUCUAACUGUGAACUUGAAAGGAAGAAAUGACCCCUGCUCUUCACCCGUGACACUUCCUGCCCGAUCAGAGGAGGAGGAUGAUCCCUCUUGGAGACUCACAGCUGCUUUCCUAAACUCUUCCUGCAGCAGGACCAAACGGUGCUCUGUGAUCACCAUGGGUGGCCUAUUCCCUGUGCUAGGGGUCUGUAGCUCAGCUGCAGCCCCACGUUGCCUUCACGGUGUUUUGGUGCAAAGCAUGGUGAGGAGGCUGCACAUGACUGCCCCUGACAAGUGCUGAGGUCUGCCGGUGGUCUGUGACCACCAAAGUUUUGGAGUCUCCACGUUAGCACAUGAAAGCAGCUUCCCUCAACCUGAUUUUGGGGAAGAGCCAUCCCAGAGCAGGUUCAGGGGGAAACUGGAGCAGCGCUGGGACCGCACAACAGGGAGCUCACAUCCAUAGGGAGGAGGGGUGGGAUGGAGCAGAGGAAGAGCUGUGACAUUUUAAAACCCAUAGUGCCUACCACUGCAAAUGGAACGCUGUAUUGUAUUAUAUUAUACGUGACUACCAUGUAAAUAAAGUACAAUAAAUGUGGUGUUCGUUAGGAUUUUGAUACAAGUCAAAUGCAGUCUGCAGAAGUGGUUUUUUCCCUGCUGUAUGUACUUACAUCACAUUCCAGGCACGGGGACGUUUGGAGUCGUGGGAGCUAACAAUGCAUAAAUGGCAUUAGAUGGGGCAUGUUUGCAGUAAGGCUAUUCUGGAAUUCCUUUUGCCCUGUGCAGGUGAGACACGAGCACCAUGUGAAAUCAGAGGGGAGGGAGUGGGGGCAGUUUGCACAGGCAGGAGGGGAGCAGCUCUUGCUGUGGUUCCUGAGCAGAAGAGGCUGCCCAGCCAGUCCUUGGCCAUGCCUCAUUCAUGCUGGAGAAACAGCCAGGUUCCAGUGGCUGAUCUCUCCUUCUUUGUUUCCCUGCUGCAGAGGUUGGCCAGCAGCACAUGCCCUGCCUGUGUAACCUGGUUAUUCCCCACCCCUGACAGCCCUUAGUGGCAGCUACAGAUGAGCAAACUCAAGAGCUUAAAAUUCAAAGCAUAUUGGGAAAGAAGUUCUUGACCAGCUGGCUCCUCUGUCUCUCUGACAGAGAUUGAGCGGCUUGGGGUUUUGGCUAGUAAGAAUAUUAGGAACCUACUUUGUUCCUUAACUCACUCCCUUAUCCAUCAUUCUCUUUCUCCAUAGUGUAAAUAAAAAAAAGUAAUACAUUUUCACGAGGCAGGCCUGCCAUGUGCCCUCCAAAUCCUGAUGCAGCUCUCAGCUGGGUUGUUGGUGGGAGUUUCUCUUGGCUUCAGAAGCUCAGGAUUUCUCUGACAAGUGUUUGCAGCUGGGUGCAGUCUUCCAUCAGUGCAUGGAGGGUGCUUCCAUGCUGAUUGUCUUGUUGGAGAACAAGACCACCCCAUGCAGUUUGUCACACCUGUGCUUGAAACUCACCUGCAGAGCUCUGUGCAGGGUCCACAGCACUGGAGGAGCAUUUGCCUGCCUUGUACCAGACCAGUCCAUGGUGUUUGUCCCUCUAACCAUUGCUGUCCUUCACAGUCAGCUGGGCAGAGCAGCAUUUGUGGGUUGUGGAGAAGGUCCUUCCUGCCCAGAACAUCACAAAUAGUCUGUUGGACCUGGAUGAGCCCACGUGCCACUGCCUCUUCUCGGGCUGGGAGUCACUCUCUUCCUGCAGUGCCCAAGGGAAAGUGGUCCUCAGAAAGGUCUCUGAACUGUGCUGGUAAUUUGACUGCUGGUAAUUUUUCAAAUGUUUAGCAGCACUUCCAAAAUAAACCAAAACCUGGUUUGGAAAAGGAAAUGUUUCACUGUACAAUUGACUUUAAAAAAAAAAGAGAAGCCACAUGCUCGAUAUAUUUUGAGUACUGUGUUCUGUAUUUUUGCAGCUUAUAUUUUCCAGAUGAGCAGUUUAGAAAUAUGUGAUGUGAAAUACAUACUGUAAGUUUGCUGUAAAUGAUAUUAAAAACACUAUUUUCAUUCUUG